RNAcentral lists this ribosomal RNA (467 nucleotides) under uncultured bacterium. RNAcentral's name for it is "partial 16S ribosomal RNA". It matches the Rfam family "Bacterial small subunit ribosomal RNA", at positions 29 to 507 of the family's 1533-position model. The record is from RNAcentral.
AUGCACGCUGGCGGCGUGCUUAACACAUGCAAGUCGAACGGUGAAGGCGGAGCUUGCUCUGCUGGAUCAGUGGCGAACGGGUGAGUAACACGUGAGCAAUCUGCCCCUGACUCUGGGAUAAGCGCUGGAAACGGCGUCUAAUACUGGAUACGAGCUGCGAAGGCAUCUUCAGCAGCUGGAAAGAACUUCGGUCAGGGAUGAGCUCGCGGCCUAUCAGCUUGUUGGUGAGGUAACGGCUCACCAAGGCGUCGACGGGUAGCCGGCCUGAGAGGGUGACCGGCCACACUGGGACUGAGACACGGCCCAGACUCCUACGGGAGGCAGCAGUGGGGAAUAUUGCACAAUGGGCGAAAGCCUGAUGCAGCAACGCCGCGUGAGGGACGACGGCCUUCGGGUUGUAAACCUCUUUUAGCAGGGAAGAAGCGAAAGUGACGGUACCUGCAGAAAAAGCGCCGGCUAACUACGUG